UUAAGCGACUAAGCGUACACGGUGGAUGCCCUGGCAGUCAGAGGCGAUGAAGGACGUGCUAAUCUGCGAUAAGCGUCGGUAAGGUGAUAUGAACCGUUAUAACCGGCGAUUUCCGAAUGGGGAAACCCAGUGUGAUUCGUCACACUAUCAUUAACUGAAUCCAUAGGUUAAUGAGGCGAACCGGGGGAACUGAAACAUCUAAGUACCCCGAGGAAAAGAAAUCAACCGAGAUUCCCCCAGUAGCGGCGAGCGAACGGGGAGCAGCCCAGAGCCUGAAUCAGUAUGUGUGUUAGUGGAAGCGUCUGGAAAGGCGCGCGAUACAGGGUGACAGCCCCGUACACAAAAAUGCACAUGCUGUGAGCUCGAUGAGUAGGGCGGGACACGUGGUAUCCUGUCUGAAUAUGGGGGGACCAUCCUCCAAGGCUAAAUACUCCUGACUGACCGAUAGUGAACCAGUACCGUGAGGGAAAGGCGAAAAGAACCCCGGCGAGGGGAGUGAAAAAGAACCUGAAACCGUGUACGUACAAGCAGUGGGAGCACAGAGCAAUCUGUGUGACUGCGUACCUUUUGUAUAAUGGGUCAGCGACUUAUAUUCUGUAGCAAGGUUAACCGAAUAGGGGAGCCGAAGGGAAACCGAGUCUUAACUGGGCGUUAAGUUGCAGGGUAUAGACCCGAAACCCGGUGAUCUAUCCAUGGGCAGGUUGAAGGUUGGGUAACACUAACUGGAGGACCGAACCGACUAAUGUUGAAAAAUUAGCGGAUGACUUGUGGCUGGGGGUGAAAGGCCAAUCAAACCGGGAGAUAGCUGGUUCUCCCCGAAAGCUAUUUAGGUAGCGCCUCGUGAAUUCAUCUCCGGGGGUAGAGCACUGUUUCGGCAAGGGGGUCAUCCCGACUUACCAACCCGAUGCAAACUGCGAAUACCGGAGAAUGUUAUCACGGGAGACACACGGCGGGUGCUAACGUCCGUCGUGAAGAGGGAAACAACCCAGACCGCCAGCUAAGGUCCCAAAGUCAUGGUUAAGUGGGAAACGAUGUGGGAAGGCCCAGACAGCCAGGAUGUUGGCUUAGAAGCAGCCAUCAUUUAAAGAAAGCGUAAUAGCUCACUGGUCGAGUCGGCCUGCGCGGAAGAUGUAACGGGGCUAAACCAUGCACCGAAGCUGCGGCAGCGACGCUGAUGCGUUGUUGGGUAGGGGAGCGUUCUGUAAGCCUGUGAAGGUGUGCUGUGAGGCAUGCUGGAGGUAUCAGAAGUGCGAAUGCUGACAUAAGUAACGAUAAAGCGGGUGAAAAGCCCGCUCGCCGGAAGACCAAGGGUUCCUGUCCAACGUUAAUCGGGGCAGGGUGAGUCGACCCCUAAGGCGAGGCCGAAAGGCGUAGUCGAUGGGAAACAGGUUAAUAUUCCUGUACUUGGUGUUACUGCGAAGGGGGGACGGAGAAGGCUAUGUUGGCCGGGCGACGGUUGUCCCGGUUUAAGCGUGUAGGCUGGUUUUCCAGGCAAAUCCGGAAAACUAAGGCUGAGGCGUGAUGACGAGGCACUACGGUGCUGAAGCAACAAAUGCCCUGCUUCCAGGAAAAGCCUCUAAGCAUCAGGUAACAUCAAAUCGUACCCCAAACCGACACAGGUGGUCAGGUAGAGAAUACCAAGGCGCUUGAGAGAACUCGGGUGAAGGAACUAGGCAAAAUGGUGCCGUAACUUCGGGAGAAGGCACGCUGAUAUGUAGGUGAAGUCCCUCGCGGAUGGAGCUGAAAUCAGUCGAAGAUACCAGCUGGCUGCAACUGUUUAUUAAAAACACAGCACUGUGCAAACACGAAAGUGGACGUAUACGGUGUGACGCCUGCCCGGUGCCGGAAGGUUAAUUGAUGGGGUCAGCGCAAGCGAAGCUCUUGAUCGAAGCCCCGGUAAACGGCGGCCGUAACUAUAACGGUCCUAAGGUAGCGAAAUUCCUUGUCGGGUAAGUUCCGACCUGCACGAAUGGCGUAAUGAUGGCCAGGCUGUCUCCACCCGAGACUCAGUGAAAUUGAACUCGCUGUGAAGAUGCAGUGUACCCGCGGCAAGACGGAAAGACCCCGUGAACCUUUACUAUAGCUUGACACUGAACAUUGAGCCUUGAUGUGUAGGAUAGGUGGGAGGCUUUGAAGUGUGGACGCCAGUCUGCAUGGAGCCGACCUUGAAAUACCACCCUUUAAUGUUUGAUGUUCUAACGUUGACCCGUAAUCCGGGUUGCGGACAGUGUCUGGUGGGUAGUUUGACUGGGGCGGUCUCCUCCUAAAGAGUAACGGAGGAGCACGAAGGUUGGCUAAUCCUGGUCGGACAUCAGGAGGUUAGUGCAAUGGCAUAAGCCAGCUUGACUGCGAGCGUGACGGCGCGAGCAGGUGCGAAAGCAGGUCAUAGUGAUCCGGUGGUUCUGAAUGGAAGGGCCAUCGCUCAACGGAUAAAAGGUACUCCGGGGAUAACAGGCUGAUACCGCCCAAGAGUUCAUAUCGACGGCGGUGUUUGGCACCUCGAUGUCGGCUCAUCACAUCCUGGGGCUGAAGUAGGUCCCAAGGGUAUGGCUGUUCGCCAUUUAAAGUGGUACGCGAGCUGGGUUUAGAACGUCGUGAGACAGUUCGGUCCCUAUCUGCCGUGGGCGCUGGAGAACUGAGGGGGGCUGCUCCUAGUACGAGAGGACCGGAGUGGACGCAUCACUGGUGUUCGGGUUGUCAUGCCAAUGGCACUGCCCGGUAGCUAAAUGCGGAAGAGAUAAGUGCUGAAAGCAUCUAAGCACGAAACUUGCCCCGAGAUGAGUUCUCCCUGACUCCUUGAGAGUCCUGAAGGAACGUUGAAGACGACGACGUUGAUAGGCCGGAUGUGUAAGCGCAGCGAUGCGUUGAGCUAACCGGUACUAAUGAACCGUGAGGCUUAACCU
This 2903-nucleotide ribosomal RNA is filed under the name Escherichia coli. RNAcentral describes it as "bacterial LSU rRNA". It matches the Rfam family "Bacterial large subunit ribosomal RNA". Lineage: Bacteria; Pseudomonadati; Pseudomonadota; Gammaproteobacteria; Enterobacterales; Enterobacteriaceae. The record is from RNAcentral.